Molecule: long non-coding RNA, 732 nt
Organism: Glycine soja
Lineage: Eukaryota; Viridiplantae; Streptophyta; Magnoliopsida; Fabales; Fabaceae
Exons: 2
Source: RefSeq, a predicted model, not a curated record
UUUUUUUUUCGGCAAAUGUUAGUUUUGUUAGCAGAAGAGAUCGAAUCUGCAACCUUUUCCUCCUUUCCUUCUCCCUUAACCAUAAAAAGCAAUACACUGUGAGCAACACAUAGCAUGCACAAGUCUUGAAUUCAAAUUCUGUGUUGAUGCAAGCGACAAGCUUCAGUUCAAAGCAUUGAAUAAUUAAACAUUUGGCAUGGAGCUUGUGCACAACACAAGGAACUUAUGCCUUUGAAGGGAAUGGCUAUAGCUAAAUGGGAAUCCAAAUUUAAUUUAUCAGGUGCUCUACACUAGUGAACCAAAUCUUCCACAAUCCCUCACCACCAGUGUGAACAAAACAUUACAUCAGCGUGUGAUGAUUGUUGAUGAUUAUGUCAUUGCCUCGACAAUUGUAGUAUAUACAUGUGACUCAAUCGCAAGCAAAGGAAAGCUAAUAUACUCUUUCUCUUUGUUCUUUGGAGAAAAUUGGUGGAAACAAGUCAACCAUUGUGUCAACUCUUCACACCCAUUUUUACAAGAAUCCAUAGGACAACUGUUUAUAUUCCAUGCACAUUUCAAAUCCAACGACACAUGGUAAUUCACUUAUUCACACCAUCAGGGAAUAACAAUUUUCUGCUUCAUUCAUUUCAAAGGAUGUAUGUUUUAAAAGGGUAAAUUCCCACUUUAGUCUUGAAAUUUUAAGCAUUUUCUUUUAGUUUUUUAAUUUUAUAAAAUUCUCACUUUAAUUUCUAA